AAGGAUCAUUAUUAAAGUUAUCAGGGGGUCGCCAGACACUCCUGGAGGCGUGAUGGUCAAGUACUCCUAGGGUAGUUCCGGGACUACCCCAUCCGUCUUAUGUUAUACCCCAUGCGUACCUACAGUUAAGCUGGCUUUGGCGGCCAUACCCGUCAGGGGGACCUAAAACUCGAUGUAUCGUUGAUCUCGGAGUGAUUCAUAAUAACUAAAACUUUCAACAACGGAUCUCUUGGUUCUGGCAUCGAUGAAGAACGCAGCGAAAUGCGAUAAGUAAUGUGAAUUGCAGAAUUCAGUGAAUCAUCGAAUCUUUGAACGCACAUUGCGCCCUCUGGACACUCCGGAGGGCAUGCCUGUUCGAGCGUCAUUUCAACCUUCAAGCCAGGCUUGAUGUUGGGCGUCGUCCCCUGGGCGUGCCUAAAACUCAUCCACGGGCCAGGCGAUUUUCAGCGCACUAGACAAAACCUUUCGCUUGGAAAAUCAUUUGGCAUCCGUUUUCCACCUCACGAUUGACCUCGGAUCAGGUAGGGAUACCCGCUGAACUUAA
Molecule: ribosomal RNA, 544 nt
Filed under: Nephroma squamigerum
Lineage: Eukaryota; Fungi; Ascomycota; Lecanoromycetes; Peltigerales; Nephromataceae
Description: eukaryotic LSU rRNA
Rfam family: 5.8S ribosomal RNA (bases 210-364)
Source: RNAcentral